Molecule: non-coding RNA, 4406 nt
Organism: Myodes glareolus (Bank vole)
Lineage: Eukaryota; Metazoa; Chordata; Mammalia; Rodentia; Cricetidae
Source: RefSeq, a predicted model, not a curated record
AUAGGUGGUUGUGAGCCACCAUGUGGUUGCUGGGAAUUGAACUCGGGACCUCCAAAGGAAUAGGCAGUGCUCUUAACCACCAAGCCAUUUCUCCAGUCCACAAAAGGCCUUCUUAUUGUUACACAGUUCACACCUUCAGCAAGUCAGUUUCCAUACACCAAAAUGUCUUAUCUGAGCCCCCCAAAGAGACAAUGCCAAUGCAAAUUUUCUGUUGAGACAUCUUGCCUCCAGCAACCAGGUUUUGGUUUCAACAGUUUCAACCUUUAGAAAACUGUCAGAUAAGAUUUAGAUACUUCAAACAGAAGGUACUGGAGACAAAAGUUAGCAGUUACAAAAGUCAGAUCAAAGCUAGGUGCCAGCACUCCUGAAUCAAACCAGGUGUAGAAGUAAGGAAAUCCCCUAACAUAUCCCCCUUUUGUAUAUGCUACAAUUAAUUAUACUGGAAAUUAUCUAUCCUUUUCUCUAUCUGUUUUAUAGUAUUAUGUAAGUAAGCCCAAACAGUUUACAGCCAGUAAGGUUACUAUUGCUAGAACAAGAAUAACACUUGCUAAAACAAGAAAUCAAUUAAAGUGAUAUGAGGUUGAAUGAGGCUAUGGUAUCUGCAAGACCUUCCGUAGUAUCCAUUCCUGUUGUAUCAGGUGACUUUUUUGUAAAAGUCUCCUUAAUUUCUUGCUGUAAAUCAUAAAGCAUUUGAGAAGAAUUAGAGUGACCCAUCAAGUGCCCAUAACCUUUCCUCAGUCGUACUUGCUAUUAUUGGAUUUUAAAGGUGUAAUACAAUAGGAUGUUGCAUCCCAAUCACAUUUAAUUUUAUCUGCUCCUUUAAUAUUUCUAACUGAUCUCCCAAAAGUAUAAUAGCUUGUCUCAAAUCUCUAUAUCAUUGACUGUCUCACUAUUUUAUUUUGCUGAGUCCAAAGUUCUGUAGAAUGCUCAUGCCUAUGUCUGAAGAACUCAGCAGCUUGCAUUUCUUCAUGAAACACCACUCCAGCUUUUGCAGCAGCAGCAGUUAAUGCAGUAUUCCCAUAAUAACUGCCAUAACCAGUCCAACCAUUUGACAUGUUCUUUCUAAUAUUCCCUCAGCGAGCAUCUGUACCAGGAUCAUCACAGGAUGUAAAAGAUGGUGGAUCCUAUCAAAGCUGAUAAAAAUCCAGUGUGAGCAAGAGUCUCUUGGAUGCUUCAGUUGGUGAGAUAACUGCCGUGCCUCUGGGGGAAAAGGAUACAGAGGCUUCUGAAGCAGACAACUAAUCCUCCCACCUGGGAUAGCUGAAGAGUGCUACACAUCUGUUCCUUGCCAUGCUAUCUGUGAGUGCUCCUGAAUGAACUGGGCAUGCUCAGGAACAAGUGUGACUGGAACAGAUCUGGAUUUCCCUUUCCUCUAUUCUCCUGAGUCCAGCUGUACCAUCUGUCAGAAGAUAGGAACUGGCUUAUGUUGAGGAAGAACAGAGAGGGUUGGCAUUCUCCCCAGAGACACACAGCAUGGACACGACCCAGAGAAGGACGGGAAGGCCAGGCUCCUCUUAAAAGCUCCAUUGGUAUCUAGAAACUUCUCAGGUUGGAACAAAGCAGGUCCUGGAACUGGCCAGGGCCAUGAAGGAUGGAGUAGAGCAGUGAGAGAACUGUGUCCCCUGCAGGAGGAGUUAGCACAGAUGACCAAGGCUGCCUACCCAGGGCAGCACACAGAGGUGGCUUCCUGGCAUUUGUCCCCAAUGCUCUAGGGCCUACUCAGCCCUAGGGACAGAGCAUGUGAGAGCAUGGGCUAUGAGGUCUGCUCCCUCCCAGCAGGAUUUCUGCAGGCUUCUCCCUUUGCAAGGUCUCAAGGGCUAGAGCCAGCCUCAGGAAUGAAUUCUCAUCUUCAGCCAAAGGAUGGAGUCUUAGAGGCAGAGGCAGGAAUGUGCCCUGCUUCCUGUAGCCACAGGUCGAGUCCCACAGCAUGAAGUGGUGGGAUCCCGAGCAGUCUCCCUGCUUGAGACAGAAGCUUCGGAGCACCAGUCCUCAGACUUGUCUGUCUCUGUGAGUCUUCACUGCGCUGUUUCUUCUUGAUAGAGCAUCUGGGAGCUCAGCCCUCAGCCAGGAGCCAGGAACCUGCCCAAGGCUCUGGCUAGGUUGCGGACUGUUCAGUGACUUUACCCCUCCAGAACUCACCUAACCCAAAUUUAUAGAACCCUCUGGGUCCCGAUUGGCUGAGUGUGUACACACAAAUACACACACACACACACACACACACACACACACAAAUAAGGUGAAAAUGGAGCUAAUCAGAGAAGAGUUGUCAAAAAUCUAGUGGGAAAGGGAGGGAAACUAGUUCACAAUCAGGUCAGUGCCUACCCACCUUUUUGCUGUCCAAAGAGCUCCUAUCAGUUCUGGCUCACCCUCUCCAGAAACUGCUAUGGGGUGAGGUUCUCCACCCCUUCCUUCCUGUUGCUACUGUCACUUUGAUCAUACACCCACCCACAUACAUCACUGCCUGCCGCCAUCAGCUGCUCCACUUGGUUCACCAUGGCAGCUCUGUCUGCCAAUCCCAUUCAGCUGGGGUUUGUGUUUCUUUCCCAGCUGCCUCAUUUGACAGGUUGAGUGCCUCGCUCUGGGUCGUCAAAUAGUAAUGCAGAGCAGUCGGAAGUCCUAUCCCAUUUCCCCUUCUCUUUCACAAUGAUCUCUGAGCCUUAGGUGCAGGACUGUGCUGUUGGUUGUGGUCACUUUAUUCUGUUUUCUCCAGGGUAUUGCUGUGUUGAUACCUCUGGCUUCAAGGCAUUCAGAGAUUUGGAAGCUAGCAGCCACAGCCUGAGGACUAUCUAGUGACUUUCUAGAUGUGCCAUCUAUGAUGCUAAUCCACAGUAUGAGAACUGCACAGAUUUAUACUUUCACUGGUUUUGAGACAUGGUCUCACUAUGUAGCCCUGACUGUCCUGGAACUCACUUUGCAGCUCAGGUUGGGCUGGAAUUCACUGAGAUCCACCUGACCCUGACUUCUGCAUGCUGGGAUUAAAGGCAUGUGCCCCACCACUGGCUCAUACACUUUUAUGUGCUUAGUUAGUGCUACAUUUGUUUCCCUAAAGUUGCCACCAUGAACACCAAAUGUUUCAUUGUUCUGAAGUUCUGGUGUAGGUCUUCUGUCCCUAGACUUACAAAUGAGAAACCCCAAAGCAAAGAUACAUACACGUGACUUACAUCACCAUUUCCUUUGUGGCCAGUCUGUGUACACUAUUAAACAUUUACAAUAUGCUUUACUUAUUUUCUUUAAAAAGUUUUUUGUAUGUUUGUGUGUGUGUGUGUGUGUGUUCAUGCUUAUGUUUAGAGGUUAGAUGGUGAUGCUAGCAUCUUCUUCAGUUGUUGCUCCAUUUAAUUAAUUAGUUUAAUUAAUUAGUUAAUUAGUUUGAGACAGAGGUUUUCACUGUACCUGUAGUUCGCCAUUUCUGCUAGACUGGUUGAUUGGUCGAUGAGACUUGUCUCUACCUGACCCACCCUGCAAAUGCUGGGGUUCCAUGUAUAUGCUCCAUGUUCAUGCUUAGCUUUAUGUGGGUAAUGGGGAUCCAAAUUUCAGUUCUUGUGCUUGUGAGGCAGGUACAUUUCUGACUGAGCUAUUUCCCCAUUUAGAGACAUAGUCUCUAAAAGAAGACAUUAUGGUGCAAGAUUAGACCUGUUGAUCUAUCAGGAGGGCCAUGUGUGGAAUCAUCCUUAGUCACUCAGUCAUGAUAAUGUUGAUGGUUUCUGGUCCUGGAUAACUGAAAUUUCUUUUGCUGAAAACACUUGGGGAAAACCAUUAUUUCUGUAUGCAUUUUUAUGAAUUAUGUAUUUUUAAAUGAAUUAUGUAUUUUUAAAGGAUCCAUUUCCAGAGUGAUGGAGUUGUAGGUAUGUGCCAUCACAUCCACUGUGUCCCAUGCUGAGGAUGAAAUUCAGAACUUGGUGAAUUCUGGGAAAAGACUCUGUCAUCUUAGCCACAUCCUCAGCUAAUUUUGUCCUAUAAUGUCCUGUAAUGAGCUCAUGUAGUGUGAUGCUCACACUCACUUUAUGCAAUGCUGAAGAUUAAACCCAGAACUCUGUGCGUGCUAGGCAGGCAUUCUACCAACUGAGCUACAUCUCCAGCCAAUAUUGUCCUAUGAUGCCUCCUUAAUUUGAAAGAUUCUGUAAAUGAUAGUGUUAUUUAUGUGGUUCUUGCUCAGUUUCUAUCCCCCUCUUCCUCUGCAGAUGAGUCAAUGUGACCUCCAAUUCUUCAUUUGUAAUCAAUUCUUUUGUAGAUAUCAGGAUAAGAAACAAGUUACAACAGAGAAGAUAAAAUUCUCAUCGGAGGCAUACACAUAUGUACAAGCUCCCAUGAUCCAUAUACAUGAACUACACAAGUUUAUCCCAGUUUCUGUUUUCCUAGGUGAAUGAUGAAUAACAAAGUACAGAAGUAAAUGGUUGUGUGAAGGAUUG